CCCGCCCCGCCUCCCGUCCGCCCCCUGCCCAGAAGGCCCUGCAGGGACGCGGCCGUUCCCCUCCCCAGCUCCCGGGGCGCGCCGUCCAGCCCGCAGCAUGAGCGACCCCGCCGCGACCCCUAUCUUCGCACCCGGAGAGAACUGCAGCCCCGCGUGGCGGGCGGCGCCCGCAGCUUACGACGCGUCGGACACGCACCUGCAGAUCCUGGGCAAGCCGGUGAUGGAGCGCUGGGAGACCCCGUACAUGCACGCGCUGGCGGCCGCCGCCGCCUCCAGAGGUAGCCUCCCCAGCCCCACCCAGUGUGUAAGGCGUGGGCUCUCUGUCUGCCCAGGGGGCCGGGUGUUGGAGGUGGGCUUUGGCAUGGCCAUCGCAGCUACGAAGGUGCAGGAGGCCCCCAUCGACGAGCACUGGGUCAUCGAGUGCAAUGAGGGCGUCUUCCAGCGGCUCCAGGACUGGGCCCCGCGGCAGCCACACAAGGUGGUUCCCUUGAAAGGCCUGUGGGAGGAGGUGGCACCCACCCUGCCAGACAGUCACUUCGAUGGGAUCCUGUACGACACGUACCCGCUGUCUGAGGAGACCUGGCACACGCACCAGUUCAACUUCAUUCGGGUAGGAUCGCUUGCGGUGGGACGGGGUCUGCCAGCCCUAAGGUGGGGGUCAGCCCAGUGGGUGCGCCUGCUGUCCCCACAGGAGGCACCUCUCCUUCCGGCGUUCCUCUGGCCUGGCGGGAGGCCCGCUGGGAACGCCUCUGCCCAUCCCCACCCCCUCCUGACCACUGUCCCCCCAACCCCGGCCAGGACCAUGCCUUCCGCCUGCUGAAGCCAGGGGGCAUCCUUACCUACUGCAACCUCACCUCCUGGGGGAAGCUGAUGAAGUCCAAGUACUCGGACAUCACCACCAUGUUCGAGGGUGCAUCUUUAUGGGUCUAGCCACCCCUUGUCUUGGGCCUUUGCCCACUCGGUUCCCUCUGCCUGCGAGGACGUGUGGGUGAGCAGCCUGGUGAUACCCCAUGACAGCCAGGAAGCUGUGUGUGGACACCUGGAGAUUCCCACCCAGACCUGGGCUCCAGCAUUUUCUUAGCAGCCCCGCCCUGCCCCCAAGGGCCUUGGCACUUGUAGGGGUGGCUGGCAGGGUGCCUCCUGAGGCCCCAGGGCCCUGGAGGUGAC
Orcinus orca (killer whale) is the source of this 1167-nucleotide RNA transcript. It is a transcript of the gene named guanidinoacetate N-methyltransferase, with no coding region annotated. The record is from RefSeq and is a predicted model, not a curated record. NCBI's taxonomy places the organism in Eukaryota, Metazoa, Chordata, Mammalia, Artiodactyla, Delphinidae. The transcript has 5 exons.